This 82-nucleotide transfer RNA is filed under the name Candidatus Kaiserbacteria bacterium. RNAcentral's name for it is "tRNA-Leu". It matches the Rfam family "tRNA". From Rfam's summary of the family: Transfer RNA (tRNA) molecules are approximately 80 nucleotides in length. Lineage: Bacteria; Candidatus Kaiseribacteriota. The record is from RNAcentral.
GCCGUGGUGGCGGAAUUGGUAUACGCGUACGACUCAGAAUCGUAUCCCGCAAGGGUUGAGAGUUCGAAUCUCUCCCACGGCA